Molecule: long non-coding RNA, 3553 nt
Filed under: Macaca fascicularis (crab-eating macaque)
Lineage: Eukaryota; Metazoa; Chordata; Mammalia; Primates; Cercopithecidae
Description: lncRNA (ENSMFAG00000062870.1)
Source: RNAcentral
UUUUUUUUUUUUUUUUUGAGUCAGGGUCUCACCUUGUCACCCAGGCUGGAGUGCAGUGGUGCAGUCACGGCUCACUGCAGCCUUGACUUCCCAGGCUCAAGUGAUCCUCCCGCCUCAGCCUCCUGAGUAGGUGAGACGACAGGUAUGUGCCACCAUACCUGGCUAAUUUUUGUAUUUUUUGUAGAGACAGGGUUUCACCAUGUUGCCCAGGCUGGUCUUAAAUUCCUGGGCUCAAGCGAUCUGCCUGCCCCAGACUCCUGAAAUGCUGGGAUUACAGCCGUGAGCCACUGGGCCCAGCUGUCCCUGCGUGUUAUUGCCCCUGAAGACCUUCCAGCAGGGCAAGAUGAGGAGGUGGGAGACAGAAAUAUCCAUGAAUCUGACCCUUUGUAGGCCUAGGCUAAUGUGUGUAAUUGUGUCUUAGUUUUUAACAAAAAAGUUUUAAAAAAAUUUAAAAUACAAAGAAGUUUGUGGAACAAGGAUAUAAAGAAAGAAUAUAUUUUUAUACAGUUCUGCAAUUAGUUUGUGCUUUAAGCUAAGUGUGAUCACAAAAGAGUCAAAAAGUUAAAAAUUUUUAAAAAUUUAUAUAGUAAAAAGUUAUAGUAAGCUAAGGAUAAUUUAUUAUUGAAGAAAGAAAAAUAUUAUUUAAUAAAUUUAGUGUAGCCUAAGUGUAGAGUGUUUGUAAAGUCUAUAGUAGUGUGCAGGGUAUGUCCUAGGGCUUCACAUUCACUCACCACUCACUCACUGACUCAGCUUCCAGUUCUGCAAGCUGCAUUCAUGGUAAGUGCCUUAUACAAGUGUAGUUUUUAAAUCUUUUAUACUCGAUUUUUACUGUACCUUUUUAAUGUUUAUAUACAUAAAUACUUGCCAUUGUCUUACAACUGCCUACAGUAUUCAAUACAGUAACGUGCUGUGCAAGUCUGUAACCCUAGGAGCAACAGGCUAGACCAUAUAGCCUAGCUGUGUAGGAGGUGGUAUCAUCCAGGUUUGUGUAAGUACUCUAUGAUGUUCGUACAAGGAUGAAAUUGCCUAAUGAUGCGUUUCUCAGAACAUAUCUCCGUUGUUGGGCAAUACGUGAUUGUAUAAUGUGAGACGACAUUUGCAAAAACACUCAUGUCCACUAAACCACUGGGCAGGGGUGUUGUCUGUGUUCUAAAUUAUGGUGAGGGCUGGCUACUGGUUGCACUCCCAUAAUCCUAGCAUUUUGGGAGGCUGAGGUGGGAGGGUGGCUUGAACCCAGGAGUUUGAGACCAGUCUGGGCAAUACAGUGAGACCCUAACUUUCAAAAACUGAAAGAAAAAUUAACUGGGUGUGGUGGCACGUGCCUGUGGUCCCAGCUACUCGGGAGGCAGAGGUGAGCAGCUUGUUUGAGCCCAGGAAAUCAUAUCAGUGGGGCGUGUAGGAGAUAGAGGGAGGCCAAUGUGUGACGGCUAGCCCAUACCUCUUUCUGUGACCGCCACUCCUGCAAACCAGGUAAAUUCUCAGUUCAGCUUAGCAAACAUUCUAUGAGCACGUACCAUGGACAAGCCCUUCUCUGGGUUCUAGGGUACAUCAUUUCACAUGCUGGCUCCUGCCCCAAGACACUCACUGAUUACGGCUCUCUGGGGAGGGAGUGCUAUUUACACAAAUGCGAACUGGUCUAAUAUCAUCCAAUAAAAACUCAAAAGAUCACCAAGCAGGGGGGAAAAAGCACAACCAGACACCUUAACACAGGGAGAGGAAAUUUUGUUCAUUCAGCAUUUAUUAAUCGCACACACAGCUCUGUCUGCAGACUAGACACUGAAACACACAAUUGUCAAAAACUAGAAAAACGAGUUAUGUCCACAUUUUAAAAAAAGCAAAACUUUAUAAAUUCCUUAGCACACUCAUACCCAAGUUUUAUCCCACAAAGUAUAGCAUGAAACAAUGACAACAUAAAUAUUCAAGUAAAAUGCUAUUUAAAAUAGCUGCACAUAGGUAAUUAAAACACUAGGAUCCAGUUUUUAGAGGAAAAAGUCAUGUGGCACAAUUUCAAGUUCCUAAUUGAAGUUAACAAUAAAACAGAUUUGCUUACAUUUGCUUCUGAUCUUUAUUUCUGCUGUGUCUCUUUAGUAGAAUAAAGAAAUGGCACUUCACAUAAAAUCAUAUUUAAAAGCUACUAAAAUGCAUGAACAGAUGCAGAUCAGCUCUUUAAUGAGAAUCCCUGCAUAGCUGGAGGAAGUUCAAGGAGAACCGUUUUUUCAAGGCCAAUAGAAUCUUGUCAUAUGCCUAAUUUCAUCUACAUUAUCAUCGCUGGGAAGUUCCUGCUGAGAACUCAUGGUAGCAAUGCUGGAAAAGUACUUUCUUCACAGGAGGUGUUCAGUAAAAUGCAAUAAUGCCUGAUAAAUGCAAGUAAUGUCAAUAUCUCCCUCUUGGUCUAGAUCAGGAGCUGGCAAACUUUUUCUUUAAGAAGACAAGUAGUAAAUACUUUAGGCUAUAAAAUAGCAUAAAUUUUGCAGGCUAUACUGUCCCUGUCCCGACUCUUCAACUCUGCCAAGAAAGCAGUCCCAGACCAUAUCAUAAAUGAAUGGGUGUGGCUAUGCUCUAAUAACAUUUUAUUUAUGGACACUGAAAUCUGAAUUUCAUAGAAUUUUCAGGUGCCAUGAAAUAUUGUUCUUCUUUUGAUUUUCUGCCCAAUCGUUUGAAAACAUAUAAACCAUUCUUAGUUCACGGGUUAUAUAAAAACAGGUGCCAGGCCAGGUUUGGUUCGUGGGCCAUAGUUUGCCAACCCCUGAUCUAAUGGUCCUUUUCUACUCUGUGUUGUAAAAUGUAUAUAUUUUUAAAAUCCCAUUACAUAUGGCUACUUUAUUUAAAAACAAAAAUGUUCAGUUAAAAACACUUCUCUUUCUUCCCACAACCAAUGACCAUUUUACUAAACAAUAAGCUAUUUCCUUUAAUUAGAAAAUCGAUCAAGGAUAUACAAUGAGUCUCUGGCCUCAAUUUAUGAACCCAUGAGCCAAAUAUGCAAGAAGACUCAAAACGUGCCACCCAGCCAAAGAAUCUACUGGCUUACAAUGUUAAAAAUUUAUUUAGAAGUAUUCCUGCACACUUCUCAGCAUUGGUAAUCCAGUUAUAAAAAAUAAUGUUGGAGCAUUUAUAUUCUUAAUAGAAAAAGAAUGGAUAUAUCUAAAUCAUAAGUAAUUAAAAUGUUAUAUAAAACCACCUAAAAACUAUACAAAUAAAGAGCAGACAUUAACUGCCAAAAUGCUGAGUAUGUGAUUCUUGACAGGGCCAGGGCAGUGUCACUAGGAAGAAUUUCAGCUCUUCCUUCUCCUUGAGACCUUGGGGAUGUGGCUAGUACACCCCAGGCCAGAUGCUAGGCAGUUUCCUGUGUGCACAGGGACUUGCCAGACCUUUAGUUACUCAACCAUAGCUUCCCAGUGGCUCAAUGAGGGAUGUUAAAUCCUAGGUGGGGUUCAGGAGGAAUUGCAUCUAGCAUUACUUUCAUUCACAUUUUCCUUCCACAACCCAGAAUAACCACAAGAUGUAAGUGGAGUCUCCAGAGAGAGAUGGGGAAAGGAAGGCGCUUCAUCUCCAC